RNAcentral lists this transfer RNA (70 nucleotides) under Setaria italica (foxtail millet). It matches the Rfam family "tRNA". From Rfam's summary of the family: Transfer RNA (tRNA) molecules are approximately 80 nucleotides in length. Their secondary structure includes four short double-helical elements and three loops (D, anti-codon, and T loops). The record is from Rfam by way of RNAcentral. Lineage: Eukaryota; Viridiplantae; Streptophyta; Magnoliopsida; Poales; Poaceae.
GGGAGUGUAGCUCAAAUGGUAGAGCGCUGGUUUUGUACGCGAGAGGCACGGGUUUAUCCCCUCGCAUCUC